AGCGCAAACUAUUUAGGCGGAGUUAACCCAAAUUGGAGCAAAAACUAACAGAAAAAGAGCUAUAUUAAUAAAAUUCAACAAAGAUUUUGCAUUAAUGUUAGACCAAUAACACAAUGCACUGAUCUAUUUACAAAAGGGCCCACUCCCAAUUCACUCAUAAGGAUAAGACAACAAACAGGAUUCUUGUAACUAAUCACCACGGAUUUAAAUCACGGUCGCAGUUGUGGUCAAUGAAAGCAGACUUGUAAAGGCCGUAAUAAUGGUCCUUCGCUACACAAAUUUGUUUGAAAAGUUGCAAAGUUCAUGAAAUGGAUAGAUAUUUAAAGUUAUAAUUAAAACUAAAAUACACAACUAAAUAUUAAGCAGAAAUACAUCAAAUAAAGACAUUA
This 389-nucleotide unclassified non-coding RNA is filed under the name Hevea brasiliensis (rubber tree). The record is from RNAcentral. Lineage: Eukaryota; Viridiplantae; Streptophyta; Magnoliopsida; Malpighiales; Euphorbiaceae.